This is a non-coding RNA of Tricholoma furcatifolium, 98 nucleotides long. The record is from the annotation of a GenBank genome assembly. NCBI's taxonomy places the organism in Eukaryota, Fungi, Basidiomycota, Agaricomycetes, Agaricales, Tricholomataceae.
GCAUUAAUGGGGUAGUGGUAACCUGGGUCGUUGCCAUCAGUGAUUCGAGCGUAUGCGCCUUUCUCGACCCGCCGGGGGUUCGAUUCCCCCUUAAUGCA